CCAACUUCUUGGCUACUUUAAGGCAAAAUAUAGUUCGCAAAAUCUACAGCUACUGUUUUAAAAAAGUAGUUAAAAACUACUGGCUACUUGAAAAUUGUAGUUCGCUACAGUAGCGAACUCGACGAAGUAUUCAGGAUAUUUCAUAGCCAGUUUAAACGCCGGUGAGCACUAUCCUUGUGAAUUAUGAUGCCCAACACACCGGGUAACAAAAUUUACUACUUCGUUCGGCUGUUUCAAAUACACUUUUAAGAUCAAGGUCCGAUUAUAUCUUGUUCUUCGAAGCAUUUGCUCAAAACAAUCCAACAUAAGUAUCGCCACUCAUCUUCUUCGUAUGAAAAUAUAGGUUUUUCUUUCAAUUUGUUUGCUUUAAAAACAGUCACUGGGUUGUUAAAGAGUUAGUCUGUAACUUCGAACGAAAAAAGCAAAGAUGCUUUCAAAAACCAGUGAAUCACAAUGCUGUAAACUUCAACAUCCUUAGAAAUUGUGAGCAAAACAUCGAAAAGAAAAAUUUGCGGGAAAAAGCUCACGAGCCCGCACUAUUUUCAUGCAGCGUCGACGAAAGUCCCCUCUGUUGACUUUUAGUUUUUUUUAGUUUAAUUUACAGGCAAAUAGAUGCGGUGCAUGUACUAUUCUGUUCUGGAAAUGCUUAUGUUUUAAAGUCCGUAGCUUUUAUCAAACAGACCAACUAAACCAAUUAGAAAUGCUAAAAGCGAUCUUAAAGUAAGUGUAAUUAAAUACCAUGCAUUGUUGUAAAUCGAAUAUAUAUUCAUAUAAUAAUAAACUAUAAAUAGGACGCUAGUUUUGUCCAACGUAACCGAUAAUAGUGUCCAUCUUUCUUUCGAUAUAUCAGAAUAACCUUGUCGACAACGCAUGAUCCUUGAAAAUAAUCUUUGGUAUGUAUUAUUGUGGAAAACGUGGGGAGGGAGGAACGAUGUAUGACCAACUCUGUAAAGUAUCUUCAAAAGUAUCUUUAAUAUAAGAUUCUAGAUUUAAACAUUUUUCAGGGCAGCAUACCCCACGGA
This is a non-coding RNA of Paramuricea clavata, 1022 nucleotides long. Lineage: Eukaryota; Metazoa; Cnidaria; Anthozoa; Malacalcyonacea; Plexauridae. The record is from the annotation of a GenBank genome assembly.